This 69-nucleotide transfer RNA is filed under the name Cordylochernes scorpioides. Its description in RNAcentral is "tRNA-Gly". The stretch from base 6 to 61 matches the Rfam family "tRNA", at positions 8 to 63 of the family's 71-position model. Rfam says of the family: Transfer RNA (tRNA) molecules are approximately 80 nucleotides in length. Their secondary structure includes four short double-helical elements and three loops (D, anti-codon, and T loops). Lineage: Eukaryota; Metazoa; Arthropoda; Arachnida; Pseudoscorpiones; Chernetidae. The record is from RNAcentral.
GCUUUUAGUUCAGUGGUAGAAUGCUCGCCUGCCACGCGGGCGCCACGGGUUCGAUUCCCGGCCGAUACA